GAUGAACGCUGGCGGCGUGCCUAAUACAUGCAAGUAGAACGCUGAAGCUUGGUGCUUGCACCGAGCGGAUGAGUUGCGAACGGGUGAGUAACGCGUAGGUAACCUGCCUCUUAGCGGGGGAUAACUAUUGGAAACGAUAGCUAAUACUGCAUAAAAGUCGAUAUCGCAUGAUAUUGAUUUGAAAGGUGCAAUUGCAUCACUAAGAGAUGGACCUGCGUUGUAUUAGCUAGUUGGUGAGGUAACGGCUCACCAAGGCGACGAUACAUAGCCGACCUGAGAGGGUGAUCGGCCACACUGGGACUGAGACACGGCCCAGACUCCUACGGGAGGCAGCAGUAGGGAAUCUUCGGCAAUGGGGGCAACCCUGACCGAGCAACGCCGCGUGAGUGAAGAAGGUUUUCGGAUCGUAAAGCUCUGUUGUAAGAGAAGAACGAGUGUGAGAGUGGAAAGUUCACACUGUGACGGUAACUUACCAGAAAGGGACGGCUAACUACGUGC
RNAcentral lists this ribosomal RNA (498 nucleotides) under uncultured Streptococcus sp. Its description in RNAcentral is "bacterial SSU rRNA". It matches the Rfam family "Bacterial small subunit ribosomal RNA", at positions 28 to 508 of the family's 1533-position model. The record is from RNAcentral. Lineage: Bacteria; Bacillati; Bacillota; Bacilli; Lactobacillales; Streptococcaceae.